AGUGAACGCUGGCGGUAGGCCUAACACAUGCAAGUCGAACGGCAGCACAGUAAGAGCUUGCUCUUACGGGUGGCGAGUGGCGGACGGGUGAGGAAUACAUCGGAAUCUACUUUUUCGUGGGGGAUAACGUAGGGAAACUUACGCUAAUACCGCAUACGACCUACGGGGGAAAGCAGGGGAUCUUCGGACCUUGCGCGAUUGAAUGAGCCGAUGUCGGAUUAGCUAGUUGGCGGGGUAAAGGCCCACCAAGGCGACGAUCCGUAGCUGGUCUGAGAGGAUGAUCAGCCACACUGGAACUGAGACACGGUCCAGACUCCUACGGGAGGCAGCAGUGGGGAAUAUUGGACAAUGGGCGCAAGCCUGAUCCAGCCAUACCGCGUGGGUGAAGAAGGCCUUCGGGUUGUAAAGCCCUUUUGUUGGGAAAGAAAAGCAGCAGGUUAAUACCACGCUGUUCUGACGGUACCCAAAGAAUAAGCACCGGCUAACUUCGUG
This 492-nucleotide ribosomal RNA is filed under the name uncultured bacterium. Its description in RNAcentral is "partial 16S ribosomal RNA". It matches the Rfam family "Bacterial small subunit ribosomal RNA", at positions 29 to 507 of the family's 1533-position model. The record is from RNAcentral.